UGUGUAUGUGUGUGUGGGCAGCCAGGUCAGUCACAGUGUGCUGGUCUCUGUGACACACACCCUGCAGUGGUGUCCCCUGCCUGCAGCAAGCUGUUGUUUGAGCCUGGGCCAGAGCUAAGCUGUGUCCUGGUGGACUGUCACUCCUGCUUACAUCUGCCCUCUGAUCAAAGCCUCUACCAAUGCCCCCUGUGGCCAUCAUGGCUCACCCCAUACCCUCCUUUUCAUUCCUCCCUCUCUCCCUCUCUCCUUUCUCUCUCUUCCUCCGCUCCACCAACCUUGACUCCUGCCCCCUCGCCAUGGCUUGGCUGGCACACGGAGGAUCAGACGCCAGGCUGCUACCACAGCACAGACUGGCAGAGAGAGAGAGAGAGAGAGAGAGAGAGAGAGAGAGAGAGAGAAGAUGGUGAAAGACAGAGAAAGAUAAAGGGAAAGAGAGAGAUGGAGAGAAAAGGUGAAUGACAGAAAGAGAAAGCGAGAGAGAAAGAGACAGAGGAACGGGACAUACUAAGGCAUCGUGGUAUAUCGAGGGGGGACAGACAGAGAGACUGAACGAGGCUGGCUGUUUGGUUGAUGACCCCGUUGAGACACCUUCUUUAUGAUGUCAUAAACAGAAAGGCUAUGGCCAGACUGCUCAUCCAUUAGAAUGACCUUCCUUUUCAUGAUCAGCUCUUGUCAGUAGGCAGCCCCUUUUACAGCCCAGGUAAUGGAUGUUUAUAUAUACAUGCUAUGAUGGCCAAUGUAGCCAUAUAAUUCGACAUAACCAUAUAAUGAUAAUUAUAUCGUCGCAUAGCAGUAAUCCCACCAGCUUGCAUACUUAAUGGGUGGUGAUUGACAGUUUGGAAUAAAUCUUCUCAUUUGGUUGUAGUCACUGGAAUUAAUUACCAGCCAAUUGUGUCAGACAUAUUAAUUUAGGAGAUUAUACAUUCCAUUAACGGAGUACCUUAUUAGCUAGGGUUACAUACGCUAUGCUUGGGUUUCUGCAUUGAAAUGAAAUCGCAUCAGGCAAGAAAUGAGGAACAAAUUUCCAAGGCCAUUGGAAGGAGCUGGAGGGGGAGCCAUUGGAAGGAGCUGGAGGGGGAGCAAUUAGAAGGAGCUGGAGGGGCAUCCAUUGGAAGGAGCUGGAGGGGGAUCCAUUGGAAGGAGCUGGAGGGGGAGCAAUUAGAAGGAGCUGGAGGGGCAUCCAUUGGAAGGAGCUGGAGGGGGAUCCAUUGGGAGGAGCUGGAGGGGGAGCCAUUGGAAGGAGCUGGAGGGGGAGCAAUUAGAAGGAGCUGGAGGGGCAUCCAUUGGAAGGAGCUGGAGGGGGAUCCAUUGGGAGGAGCUGGAGGGGGAUCCAUUGGAAGGAGCUGGAGGGGGAUCCAUUGGGAGGAGCUGGAGGGGGAUCCAUUGGAAGGAGCUGGAGGGGGAGCCAUUGGAAGGAGCUGGAGGGGGAUCCAUUGGAAGGAGCUGGAGGGGGAUCCAUUGGGAGGAGCUGGAGGGGGAUCCAUUGGAAGGAGCUGGAGGGGGAUCCAUUGGGAGGAGCUGGAGGGGGAUCCAUUGGAAGGAGCUGGAGGGGGAUCCAUUGGAAGGAGCUGGAGGGGGAUCCAUUGGAAGGAACUGGAGGGGGAGCCAUUGGAAGGAGCUGGAGGGGGAGCCAUUGGAAGGAGCUGGAGGGGGAGCCAUUGGGAGGAGCUGGAGGGGGAUCCAUUGGAAGGAGCUGGAGGGGGAGCCCUUGGAAGGAGCUGGAGGGGGAUCCCUUGGAAGGAGCUGGAGGGGGAGCCAUUGGAAGGUGCUGGAGGGGGAGCCCUUGGAAGGAGCUGGAGGGGGAGCCCUUGGAAGGAGCUGGAGGGGGAGCCAUUGGAAGGAGCUGGAGGGGGAGCAAUUAGAAGGGCACUAGAGGAGGAGCCAUUGGAAGGUGCUGGAGGGGGAGCCCUUGGAAGGAGAUGAAGGGGGGUAGUGGCGUGCGGGACAGCUGUGUAUUUGACACAAUCUGCCAUUGCAUUGGUUAGUCCUGUUUGGGAUUAAUUCUGUUCUGAAAAUAUCCAUUAUAUUGCUUAACCAGUAGACUUACUGCAUGUAGCAAUUAUGCUGUAUUACUGUUUACUAUGGUGAAGUCUGUCUAUCUGAUGUCCUUUUAGUGACAAUAACGAUGAUCUUGUCACGUCCUGACCAGUAAAAGGGGUUAUUUGUUAUUGUAGUUUGGUCAGGGCGUGGCAGGGGGUGUUUGUUUUGUGUGUUUCGGUGUUUUUGGUUUAUGUUCUAUGUUAUCUAUUUCUAUGUGUUUAUCUAGUUUUCUAUUUCUAUGUUGGUUUUUGGCAAUGACCUCCAAUUAGAGGCAGCUGGUUGUUGUUGUCUCUAAUUGGAGGCCAUAUUUAGUUGGGUUUGUUUUCUCUUGUGUUUUGUGGGUGGUUGUUUCCAGUAUAGUCUGUGCACCUUACUGGACUGUUUUCGUCGUCAGUUUAUUUUGUUUAAGUGUUUUCUUUAAUAAAGAAAGAAGAUGAGCACUUUACCCGCUGCGUUUUGGUCCAAUCCUUACGACGCCCGUGACAGAACCACCCACCAAACAAAGACCAAACAGCGGGGAUUGGAGCACCAAACAAGGACCAAGCAGUGGGGAUUGGAGCACCAAACAAGGACCAAGCAGCGGGGAUUGGAGCACCGAAGAGAAGGAUGGACGUGGGAGGCAGAACAAUGUUUCUGGGAGAGGAAACUAAGGGAGCUAGAUGAGGCCGAGAGGCAUCCCCCCCCCAAAAAAAAAAUGGGGGGGGGGGCACACGGGGAGUUGGGCAGAGUCAGGAUGGAGACCUGAGCCAACUCCCCAUGCUUAUUAUGCGGAGAUACGCGGAGAUACGCACUGUGUCGCCCAUACGCAUGCACAGUCCGGUGCGGUCAAUAAGGGCUCCGCAACGUUGCCAGGCGAGAGUUAGCCGGCAGCCAGGGAGAAGUGCGCCGGCGCAGCGCAUCUGGCCACCAGUGCAUCUCCUCGGUUCAGUUUACCCUGUUCCUGCUCCUCGCACUAGCCCUGAUGUGCGUGUUACUAGGCUGGCGCCUCCAACACCAGCCCCACGCAUCAGGCCUCAGUGCGCCUGCCCAGUCCAGUACGUCAUGUUCCCGCUCCUCGCACUAGCCCUGAGGUGCGUGUCACUAGUCUGGCUCCUCCAAAGCCAGCCCCACGCAUCAGGCCUCUAGUGCACCUGCCCAGUCCAGUACGUCCAGUUCCUGCUCCCCGCACGAGCCAUGAGGUGCGUGUUACUAGUCUGGCGCCUCCUAAGCCAGCCCCACGCAUCAGGCCUCUAGUGCGCCUGCCCAGUCCAGUACGUCCUGUUCCUGCUCCCUGCACUAGCCAUGAGGUGCGUGUUACUAGUCUGGCGCCUCCAAAGCCAGCCCCACGCCUCAGGCUUCCAGUGCGCCUGCCCAGUCCGGUACGUCCUGUUC
Molecule: long non-coding RNA, 3411 nt
Filed under: Salmo salar (Atlantic salmon)
Lineage: Eukaryota; Metazoa; Chordata; Actinopteri; Salmoniformes; Salmonidae
Description: lncRNA (ENSSSAG00000111267.1)
Source: RNAcentral